Molecule: ribosomal RNA, 253 nt
Filed under: uncultured bacterium
Lineage: Bacteria
Description: partial 16S ribosomal RNA
Rfam family: Bacterial small subunit ribosomal RNA
Source: RNAcentral
UACGUAGGUGGCAAGCGUUGUCCGGAUUUAUUGGGCGUAAAGAGCGUGUAGGCGGCUUUACAGGUCCGUUGUGAAAACUCGAGGCUCAACCUCGAGACGCCGGUGGAAACCGUAAAGCUAGAGUCCGGAAGAGGAGAGUGGAAUUCCUGGUGUAGCGGUGAAAUGCGCAGAUAUCAGGAAGAACACCCGUGGCGAAGGCGGCUCUCUGGGACGGUACUGACGCUGAGACGCGAAAGCGUGGGGAGCGAACAGG